CCGAAUUUAGGAUAAUAAAAUUUAAUUAGUUUAUAGGAGUUAUUAAUUGAUCAAAUAUAGUUUUUAUAGUUUUUUUUUUUUUUUUGUAUUGAAAAAAAAAGGUAAAGUGUGGAUACAUUAUUAUAAAAAAUGAAAAUAAUAUAUCUAUAUUAUAACAAAGGGAUUAAGUCCAAAGACCAAUUGAUCCAACGGUUAAGAUCCAAUUGAUGAUUUAAUCAACUGCAG
RNAcentral lists this long non-coding RNA (225 nucleotides) under Capsella rubella. Its description in RNAcentral is "long non-coding RNA (CRUB_LNC002281)". The record is from RNAcentral. Lineage: Eukaryota; Viridiplantae; Streptophyta; Magnoliopsida; Brassicales; Brassicaceae.